This is an RNA transcript of Manihot esculenta (cassava), 3721 nucleotides long. It is a transcript of the gene named serine/threonine-protein kinase prpf4B, with no coding region annotated. The record is from RefSeq and is a predicted model, not a curated record. NCBI's taxonomy places the organism in Eukaryota, Viridiplantae, Streptophyta, Magnoliopsida, Malpighiales, Euphorbiaceae. The transcript is spliced from 12 exons.
UUCACCUUUCGUCCUCACAAAUUAACUCAAGCGCGCCCUUAGCUGGACCUGGACGAAAGGAAACCCCAAAAAUAAAACCCUAAUCAUAUAGUGCUCUAUCAAUUUUGAUUUUGAAAACAAAAAGAGAAAGAAAAAACCAAUGGCCAGGAACACCGAUCCGUCCAGUCGCAAGCAUCGCCGAUCGCCCCCAGAUGAUGAAGUGGAGAAGUCCUCAAAGCGACACAAACACCGACACCAUCGCCAUCACCGUUCCCACCGAAGCAAGAAGCACGGUGAGGAAAGUAACCAUGCUGUUGAUGAAACUGCUCGUUCUUCUCCUCCAAUGAAUCCUAUUGCUGGUACUGCUAAUAACAGGCUUGAUGAUGACGUGGAGGAAGGCGAGAUUUUGGAGGAGGAGGUUUCUGGUGGUGUUGUUGUAAAGGCCAUCGAAUUACGUGAGGAGAAAGUUGGUUCUCAAAAUCUGGGAGAACAUCCUUACUGUAUUGCCAAUGGCUUAACUGAUUCUUGCAAUUCUAGUAAGUUUGAAAGCAAACUUAAUUUGCCCAAAGGCCCUAUGGUCGAGAUUCAAGAUGAAUUAUUUCUGAGAGAAGAGCUUGAAGUUCGUACCAACGGAGAUUUGGAUUAUGAAUAUCAUAAAGCAGGUAAGAAACAUCAUGCAGAGUCUGUCUUUUGCAAUGGAAGUAACAAGCGAAAGAGUUAUCGUCAUGUUGAUACACCUGAGGGUGAUGAAAGCAAAUUGGGUGAUUGGGGGAAGUCAUCAUCUCCUGAAUGUGGGGGGGGUAAAAACCACACUGAAACAGGCUCAGCAUCUCAUGAUAUGUCCCAUGAUGAUGUAAUUGCUAGGAGUAGGUCAUUGUCACAUGAUUUUACUGGUGAGAGAUCUCAUUCCCACAGCAUAAUGGAAGAGGAGGUUCUUUUGAAGAGAGGACGACACACUGGUAAGUUGGAAACUUUUAUUGAUGAUGAAAGAAUGUCUAGACGUGAUAGGGAUCUGCUGCAUAGCAGUAAAGAUUUGGAAAGGGAGCAUAGAACCAGUUACAGCAGAAGUCUAGGAGGUGGGGACAGACACAGAAGCAGGGAUGCAUGUGGCCGAGAGGUGAGCAGGGAGAAGGACAACUGGGAAUGGAGAAAGAAUCAGGAACGAGAGAGGAGCUGGGACAGGGAUCAGAGAAGAGAGAAAGAUGGAAAAAGAAGCAGGGACAGGGAUCUGAGAAGAGAGAUGGAACAGGAGAAUAGGGACUGGGAUGGGAGAAGAGAGAAGGAAAGGGAGAGGAGCAGAGACAGGGAUGUGAGAAGAGAGAAGGAAAAGGAGAGAAGCAGGGACAGGGAUGUGAGGAGAGAGAAGGAAAGGGAGAGAAGCAGGGACAAGGAUGUGAGAAGAGAGAAGGAAAUAGAAAGGAGAACGGACCAGGAUAUGAGGAGAGAAAUGGAAAGGGAGAGGAUUAGAGACAGAGAGAUGGACAGGGAUCGGAAAAGAGAGAAGCAACGAGGGAGGAGCUUGGAGAGGGAUAGGAAGAGGGACAUGGAGGAGGAUCUGGACAAGAGAAGGCAGAAAGAAGGAGAUAAACACAUAGGUAAAGAUGUGGCUAGAUCUAGUGAUAUACACAGUGAUUGGGAAAAAGAGAGGGAGAAGGAUAGUGAAAGGUAUAGGGAGAGGGACAGAAUUAAAGACCAAGAUCGGAAGAGGGAGAGGGAAAGGCGUAGCGAUAGAAAUAAUAACAAAGCCAGGGACAUUAAGAGUGAUUCGCAGAAGGUCUAUAAUUCUCAUGGUGAUCCUUUAGGUGACAGAGACAAACUCAAUAGAGAUCAAGAUGAACAGGAUGAUUUUGAAGAAAGGAUUAGUAUACAAUUAGCUGAACAGGAGGAUGAUCUCGAUAGGGUUAAGGAGGAGAGUAGAAAGCGCAGCCAAGCCAUUCUUGAAAAACAUAGAAAUAAGCAACUACAGCAACAAAAUGAGUCUCAAUCAGAUGAUGUGGAAAAAGAUGUGGAACCUGCACAAUCUCCUAUUCAAUCAUUACUAGCUUCUAAUGUUGCUCCAGAAACUCUUGAUACUAGGAUUGACAUUGAUAUUUAUGUUGCUGAGCCAUCAUUUUCUGUGGGCAAGUUGCCUCCACAAAAUGGAGCAGAGGCUUCUGAGAGGUGUUCUGUUGCUGUGGGGCUUGGAGAGGGUACUCCCAAGAGUGAGAGGUCAGAGGAAAGAUAUUGUGAUGACAUAUUUGGCGAGACACCUGCUGGAAUUCGUAAAUUGGACAAAGGAGAUGGUUUACCAAUUAUUCGGAAUGGUCUUCAUGACAACUGGGAUGACUCUGAUGGGUAUUAUGGCUACAGAUUUGGUGAAAUACUUGAUGGUCGGUAUGAAAUUGUGGCUGCUCAUGGAAAAGGAGUCUUUUCCACAGUAGUUCGUGCAAAGGAUUUGAAGGCUGGUGUUGGUGAACCUGAAGAAGUGGCUAUAAAAAUAAUUCGUAAUAAUGAAACAAUGCAAAGAGCUGGUCAGUCAGAGGUUAAGAUAUUAAACAAACUAGCAGAUCUAGAUAAGGACAACAAGCGCCAUUGUGUUCGAUUCCUUUCAAAUUUCAAGUAUAGAAAUCAUCUUUGUUUAGUUUUUGAAUCUCUUCAUAUGAAUCUUCGUGAGGUCUUAAAAAAAUUUGGUCGCAAUAUUGGCCUGAAACUAACUGCUGUGAGGGCAUAUGCAAAGCAGCUUUUCAUUGCACUGAAGCAUCUUAAGAACUGUGGUGUUCUUCAUUGUGAUAUAAAGCCUGAUAACAUGCUGGUAAAUGAGGCAAAAAAUGUGCUGAAGCUUUGUGAUUUUGGUAAUGCCAUGUUUUCUGGUAAAAAUGAAAUUACACCCUACCUUGUGAGCCGCUUUUAUCGUGCUCCAGAAUUCUUGGCUUGCCUUAUGAUCAUCCAAUGGAUGUGUGGUCUGUUGGAUGCUGUUUAUAUGAGCUUUUUACGGGGAAAGUUCUUUUUCCUGGUACUACAAAUAAUGAAAUGUUGCGACUUCACAUGGAACUGAAAGGCACUUUUCCAAAGAAGAUGCUUAAGAAGGGUGCAUUUGUUGACCAGCAUUUUGAUCAAGAUUUGCAUUUUCAUGCUACAGAGGAGGAUCCUGUUACUAAAAAAACUGUAAAAAGGAUGAUUCUAAAUAUAAAGCCAAAGGAUAUUGGGUCGGUUGUUACAAGUUCUCCGGGUGAGGAUCUAAAGAUGUUGGCCAAUUUUAGAGAUAUUCUAGAUAAAAUUUUUGUAUUGGAUCCUGAGAAGAGGAUGACGGUUCAUCAAGCACAACUUCACCCAUUCAUCACUGGCAAGUGAACCAUGUUGCUGAUUUUCUGACACCAGAAUUGCUGUUGUGCUAGAUAUUAGUGCAUUAUGACUUAAUAUUCGGUUAUCUAAUCAUUGGGUAUUAUGUCUUAAUCUUCUAUAUGCUGGCCUAUGAGCUCUGCACAGUUGUAGCCGUCGUUGAAAUCAGAGGUGGUGAUGUUUGGUCAGGAGUACUGGCAGUUCUUUCAUGGGAAAUUUACUGUUUCUAUUGUAAGACAACUUGCCAAAGGUGUUCUCCCCCUCUUGUAACUAUUCUUAAUUAUGGGCAUUGUGAAAAUUUAUCAUGUUUGUUCUCUAUUUCCUUGUCACAAUUAUAUUUGUACUUUGUAUGUGGUUGCUGCAAUUGAAUUAUGGCAAAUCAAAAGGAAAAGAAAAUUGGGAUUUCUGUGGUUAAGGACAAUCA